GUGCUCACUUUGGCAACACAUGUACUAACAUUGGAACAAUACAGAGAAGAUUAGCA
RNAcentral lists this small nuclear RNA (56 nucleotides) under Salvator merianae (Argentine black and white tegu). The record is from RNAcentral. Lineage: Eukaryota; Metazoa; Chordata; Lepidosauria; Squamata; Teiidae.